Molecule: long non-coding RNA, 1021 nt
Filed under: Fukomys damarensis (Damara mole-rat)
Lineage: Eukaryota; Metazoa; Chordata; Mammalia; Rodentia; Bathyergidae
Description: lncRNA (ENSFDAG00000032206.1)
Source: RNAcentral
CCGCAGCCUUCUCUUUCUAGUAGCCACUUUCCUGGGAGAAGUAUACCCAAAAAGUCAGUCUUGGUGGUCAACAAAUGUUUCCUCUGCAUCCUAGAAUCUUAGUGGCCUGGUUACCAUGUUCCAGUUCCCCUCUUCUUCCCUGGCAGAGAUGUGGAAGCCCAAAGCAGCCUGGGGAAAGGGAAGGGGGGAAGGAAAAGCCCAGAUCCUGCCAUCAAGGGCAGGCCGCCCCGGAAUGGAGGCACCUCCGAGCGUGGCAGCCGGACGUCGGGAUCCGGGGCGAAGAAAGCCGGGGCUCUGGCUGAUGUGUGAUGAUUUUCUGCGGCAUUGCUUGCUGCCCGAAAGAACUAACGAAUGAAGCGGUUUCUUUUGGGAAUAAUACCCUCUUGACGCGAAGCUACAGCCAAAGUCCCAGGCCCUUCAGGGGGGCCAAGGUUUCCACUGGCGGCGGGGUCCCCAUCCCUAGGCGCAGCGAGGAGCAGCGGGCGGCCCUCUCGCUGAUCCCUUCCUCGCCGAGGCCCCCUGCGUCUGGCGCCGCCACGAGAGGCUAAGGGCUUCCCGGGCUUCGCCUUCGCAGAGCCGAAGCCCGAGUCCCCGAGGCUGCUGCCCUUUUGGGGUGGCUGGGGCCGAGGCGCUGGGUAGGCACGCAGGUUAGGUGAGGUAGUACCAGUGACGGCACGCCCGGGGCGCAGGAACGAGCUCCUCGCGCUGCCUCGAUGGCGCCCGACCUUCCGCGCAUUGCGCUCCGUCCCGCGCUGCUGGCCGGACCCCACAAACGCCAGGAGCAAACGGUGCAGACUUAGCCGCCACCUCCCUGCGCCCCUUCACCGCGGAGACCCCGCGCCUCUAGCUGAGACUCUUACCCCACCUGGACAGCACUGCGUCUGCGACUCGUCGGGUCCGGGCUCGCCCGCCGCGGACUGUGCCUCACGUUUCAGCUCAGGCUGGGGCCCCUGAUCCAACUUGGCUUCAGGCUGUGCGCGCUGCUACGGUCCCUGCCGGUUCGCUACAUCGCAGCACGAAG